GGCGGAGGGGCUCGGGUGCACUAGGUGGGCGGUUGGUUAAAUAAGUAAGCGGUAGAAUGCGCGGUUCGUUCGUUUAGGUUGACUACCUAGCCGGCCAAUCCGCCUGGUCGCCCGGCCUGCCCUUCUCUGCCUUUCGUCUGUGCCUCCACAGCUGCCGCCGCCAACUCCUGCUCGGUGUCCAAAACAAAAUGGCUGCCACGCUCAGUGCGGAGUAGGACCGGAUAAAAUGGCGUCUGCGCACUUACGUCAGGCGUUUAGAUGCGCACGCAGCUAGGGGCGGGGCUGAUGCACUACGCCUGCGCGGGAGUCGGAGGAGCGCUGCGGUGGAGGAGGGGCUAUGGUGCUCCGCCCAUAGGGGGUGUGGUCUAGUGGGCGGGGCAGGUGGGAGCUUCGCUUUCCAGCUGGGCUGCACUGUACUUGGAGGGGUGGUGGGCUCUGGUCCAGGUGAAAAGCGCGCAUAUUCCCUGAAGCCCUUCUCUUGCCCCUAAGAAAGCGUGUCUAAAGGCCUGUGUGUGGGGCUCGCCUGGGUCUCUUCCGGACCGUCGAGCCCAGCUCACUGGCUUCGGCUCCUGCCUCAUCCGGUUCCCAGUUCACAGCUCACCGAUUGUGAGUGGCAUGGACCUGAGCCAGGGCCCGGGAGGCUAGUGCUGGGAGCCCUCCUCUAGCUAACCAGCGCCCGUAGCCCUCCCUGUUUUCAGCUCCACUCCUUCCCCUUCCCAACUUGGCCUGAACAUGGUCUGAUCCUUCUUUUGGGGUAAACCUUCCAUGUCUUUCUCCCAAACUACCAUCCAUGUGGAAUUUUAAAAUGUAACCCAGAGUCUUCCGCAUGCCAGGGAAGCACAGGGCCCCAGAGCAAUGUCCCCAGCCCUCCCCAGCCCUCCGUAUGGAUUUUGAUGCAGACCUGUAAAGGGAUUUUUCUUAAGGCUCAGUACACAAAGUGCUUAAAUGUUUCAGGGAUGAAUGAAUGAACAUCUUCAGCACUUUCUUCUGCCCCAUGUAACUUUGGGACCCUUUGUUUUUCCUGGCACUUAGUUUGUGUGGGUGUGUUUAAUGGUCCUGCACCCUUGCUAGACUUUAUUCUGAUGAGGUAAGGAGAGUUUUAUUUUGCUCACUGGUGUGUCCCCAGUUCCCACACAAUGUUUAGCACGUGGUAGGACCUCAGUAAAGGUUGGUUGAAGGUUGAAAGGAGCUUUUUUCCUUCUGGUUUUGUAGUUGAGAAGCUGAUGUCUCUUCCAGCUGGAACCUUGGACCCCUACAUUUGUAAGUCUUGAGCGUUCUUCAGGUAGGAAGAUGAUGUGCACAGGGAACUCUUUCCAAAAUCGGGGGAGUUGGGAGUAAUCAACUCUCAUUUCUCCACCCACUUCCAGACCCCAGAGGAGACAGACAUUGAUGGCUGCUGAGAGCGGAGCCUUUAAUGAAAGAUUAGUUGCAGGCCUGGACUGCUACUCUUGCGCCCUUGGUGUGUAUUGAAGGAGGUGGGCAAUGGUGAGAAUGUGGACAGGGAUAAGUGGGGUGAGGUGAAAGCAGGUGAAGGGGCGGGCCCGGCAGGGGGAGGGGAAGGGCGCUGCCCACUGGGCUGUCUGCUCAACUGUUCUCCCAGAAGAAGUUGUUACAGGCCACUGUGAGAGCAGCCACCAGCACCACAUACUCCUGGAAGUCCACCUCCCCGUCUCCAUUCUCAUCGAGCUCCUUCAUCACCUUGUCCACAGCAUCUGCAUCCUUCUGGGCCUGUGGAGGAAGAAGAGGGAGAGGAGGUGUGCAUCACUGAGUCGGGGCAGGAGGUGGUCGAGGAGAGCAAGGCAGACGUGAGCAAGAGGUCAGACAGCCUCUAAUCAUGGGACCUUCUGCUUUCCACCCAAGAAGGCUCAUGGGCUCCUGUUGCCUUCAGAAGAAACGCCUUAACUGGAAGAGUUAAUGAUAACGUCAAUCACCAUAAGCUAAUUGUCUACAGUGUGACAAGCACUACACUAGGAGCCUUCCAGGCACUGUCUAGUUUAAUUCUAAUACAAGCAGUAUGGGGCUCUUUUUAUUAAUUCCAUUCUGAAGAAGAAACAUGGAUGAUUUUUGUUAAGUAAAUGUGCCCAAAGUCACACAAAAAGCGGCAGGGCUGACAUUAGGUGUGGUGAUGCACACCUGUCAUCCCAGCAGCU
Molecule: long non-coding RNA, 2150 nt
Filed under: Marmota monax (woodchuck)
Lineage: Eukaryota; Metazoa; Chordata; Mammalia; Rodentia; Sciuridae
Source: RNAcentral